This is a long non-coding RNA of Trifolium pratense (red clover), 797 nucleotides long. RefSeq lists it as uncharacterized. Lineage: Eukaryota; Viridiplantae; Streptophyta; Magnoliopsida; Fabales; Fabaceae. The transcript has 5 exons. The record is from RefSeq and is a predicted model, not a curated record.
CCCACCACAUGGUCUUUCUCUUUUGGCAACAAAAAAAAAAUGGUAAACCCUCACAAGAAUCCAAAGAAACAAAGCACAGGUGACGUGAUACACAAUUUGGGCAACCUCUCCCCUUCACGCCCACUGUUCCAGAAUUUCUCCUCCCAAAUCAUACAAUGAUCUGAACCAUGAAGAAGAAGCCAAAAUCCCUCCUCUGCACCCAUUAACCAAAGCGCUCAAACCUGUCACUUUCUCAAAACCUCUUCUCCCAAUUUUUUCCCAAAUCGUGAUUACCAACACAGAGGUUCCAGGCUGGAAUACAAGAGUUGUGAGAUUUUGUUGAAUUCAAAGUUGGAUCCUUUAUUGCUGGAGAAAAGCAGACAAACAGAGUUUUAAGCAUCAAGUAUGAAAGAGUUCAAAUAAAUGAUGUUGGAGAGUCGAUCAAAUUGAAGGUCUGCUUUAAUUAGUAGCUACAAAUAGUGGCUCAUGGAUUCCUUUUCAUUCACUGGAUUUGUAGUGUUUCAUUGGAAUAGUCUUGGCCAAAGUUUUACUGUUCUUAUUUUUGAAACCGUUUAUUAGUUUGAAGGUUGAAGUUGGAUUUUGAGCUUAUAGCUUGCUAACCGAAGACUAGAUCAUGAUACUAUCAAACAAUAAUGACUAUAGGCAAGAUAUAUAGAUAGAUGCAUCUUUCAAUAUAAGAGACUUUUCUUGGUUAAUCGAUGUUAGGAAGAAUCUCAAUGCUAGCUAAUGGCAAUCUAUCAUAAUCCAUUUACUUGAUAUUUCAUUGUUAUUCAAGUGCAUUGAAACUUUUUUAGCCA